RNAcentral lists this transfer-messenger RNA (369 nucleotides) under Chitinophagaceae. RNAcentral describes it as "SXYR01 sp016868895 Standard tmRNA". It matches the Rfam family "transfer-messenger RNA". Rfam says of the family: Bacterial tmRNA, also known as 10Sa RNA or SsrA, is named for its dual tRNA and mRNA-like properties. Its role is to liberate the mRNA from a stalled ribosome. To accomplish this part of the tmRNA is used as a reading frame that ends in a translation stop signal. Lineage: Bacteria; Pseudomonadati; Bacteroidota; Chitinophagia; Chitinophagales. RNAcentral also lists the same sequence under 1 other name. The record is from RNAcentral.
GGGGCUGACCGGUAUUGACAGCGUAGAUCUUUGAAAGUAAGCAUGCAGUGCGUUGCGAAUGUUGCACUUUAAUCUGAAUUCGAAACCAAUAAAUGGCGAGAAUACUUACGCCAUGGCUGCCUAAUCAGUGAUUAGCGCACCCAUUAUGGCCGGCUGACGGGUUUUCCCUUACCCAGUCACCCUGCUGAAUCAAAAAAAACAGGGAUGCUGCAUCCGAAGGCUGUGACGGAUGCUUAAGCCUAUUCAGCUACGGAUGCGGUUGGUUCGUUUGGUUCCUGCCGUUUCCCGACAAUCAAUUCCAGAAUAAGCAUGUAGAAAGCUUUUGACGAAUAUGUUUGGACGUGGGUUCGAAUCCCACCAGCUCCACCA